UACGGGGGGGGCAAGCGUUGUUCGGAAUUACUGGGCGUAAAGGGCUCGUAGGCGGCCAACUAAGUCAGACGUGAAAUCCCUCGGCUUAACCGGGGAACUGCGUCUGAUACUGGAUGGCUCGAGUUUGGGAGAGGGAUGCGGAAUUCCAGGUGUAGCGGUGAAAUGCGUAGAUAUCAGGAGGAACACCUAUUGCGAAGGCAGCUCGCUGGGACGUUACUGACGCUGAGACGCGAAAGCGUGGGGAGCAAACAGG
RNAcentral lists this ribosomal RNA (253 nucleotides) under uncultured bacterium. RNAcentral describes it as "partial 16S ribosomal RNA". It matches the Rfam family "Bacterial small subunit ribosomal RNA", at positions 524 to 776 of the family's 1533-position model. The record is from RNAcentral.